RNAcentral lists this ribosomal RNA (497 nucleotides) under uncultured bacterium. RNAcentral's name for it is "partial 16S ribosomal RNA". It matches the Rfam family "Bacterial small subunit ribosomal RNA", at positions 28 to 507 of the family's 1533-position model. The record is from RNAcentral.
GAUGAACGCUGGCGGCGUGCCUAAUACAUGCAAGUCGAGCGAACGGACGCUAAUCUUGUUUCUCUGUUGUUUGCGGCGGACGGGUGAGUCACACGUGUAUCACCUACCUAUAAUACUGGGAUAACUUCGGGAAACCGGAGCUAAUACCGUAUAAUAUUUUGCACCACAUGGUUCAUAGGUGAAAGUCGGUCUUGCUGUCACUUAUAGAUGGUUCCGCGCUGCAUUAGAUAGUUGGUAAGUUAACGGCUUACUAAGGCAACGAUGCGUAGCCGACCUGAUAGGGGGAUAGGCGACACUGGAACUGAGACACGGACCAGAGUACUAAGGGAGGGAGCAGUAGGGAAUGGGACGCAAUAGGCGAAAGCAUUACGGAGCAACGGCGCGUGUGAGAUGAAGGUCUUCGGAGCGGAAAAAUGUGUUACGAGGGAAGAACAGAUGUGUAAGGAAAUGUGCAGAGCGUGACGGUACCUAAUCAGGAAGCAACGGCUAACUACGUG